GUGGGGAAUCUUGCGCAAUGGGCGAAAGCCUGACGCAGCCAUGUCGCGUGAAUGAUGAAGGUCUUAGGAUUGUAAAAUUCUUUCACCGGGGACGAUAAUGACGGUACCCGGAGAAGAAGCUCCGGCUAACUUCGUGCCAGCAGCCGCGGUAAUACGAAGGGUGCAAGCGUUAUCCGGAUUCAUUGGGUUUAAAGGGUGCGUAGGCGGAGCGUUAAGUCAGUGGUGAAAUCCUGCAGCUUAACUGUAGACUUGCCAUUGAUACUGGCGCUCUUGAGUGCGCUUGAAGUGGGCGGAAUGUGCCGUGUAGCGGUGAAAUGCUUAGAUAUGGCACAGAACACCAAUUGCGAAGGCAGCUCACUAAGGCGAUACUGACGCUGAGGCACGAAAGCGUGGGGAUCGAACAGGAUUAGAUACCCUGGUAGUCC
RNAcentral lists this ribosomal RNA (425 nucleotides) under uncultured bacterium. RNAcentral describes it as "partial 16S ribosomal RNA". It matches the Rfam family "Bacterial small subunit ribosomal RNA", at positions 354 to 796 of the family's 1533-position model. The record is from RNAcentral.